UGGGGAAUAUUGGACAAUGGGCGAAAGCCUGAUCCAGCCAUGCCGCGUGUGUGAAGAAGGCCUUUUGGUUGCAAAGCACUUUAAGUGGGGAGGAAAAGCUUAUGGUUAAUACCCAUAAGCCCUGACGUUACCCACAGAAUAAGCACCGGCUAACUCUGUGCCAGCAGCCGCGGUAAUACAGAGGGUGCAAGCGUUAAUCGGAAUUACUGGGCGUAAAGCGCGCGUAGGUGGUUAUUUAAGUCGGAUGUGAAAGCCCCGGGCUUAACCUGGGAACUGCAUCUGAUACUGGAUAACUAGAGUAGGUGAGAGGGGAGUAGAAUUCCAGGUGUAGCGGUGAAAUGCGUAGAGAUCUGGAGGAAUACCGAUGGCGAAGGCAGCUCCCUGGCAUCAUACUGACACUGAGGUGCGAAAGCGUGGGUAGCAAACAGGAUUAGAUACCCUGGUAGUCCACGCCGUAAACGAUGUCUACCAGUCGUUGGGUCUUUUAAAGACUUAGUGACGCAGUUAACGCAAUAAGUAGACCGCCUGGGGAGUACGGCCGCAAGGUUA
RNAcentral lists this ribosomal RNA (549 nucleotides) under uncultured bacterium. RNAcentral describes it as "bacterial SSU rRNA". It matches the Rfam family "Bacterial small subunit ribosomal RNA", at positions 355 to 896 of the family's 1533-position model. The record is from RNAcentral.